This 183-nucleotide non-coding RNA is filed under the name Desulfosporosinus sp. Its description in RNAcentral is "Lysine sequence". It matches the Rfam family "Lysine riboswitch aptamer". Rfam says of the family: Riboswitches are metabolite binding domains within certain messenger RNAs that serve as precision sensors for their corresponding targets. Allosteric rearrangement of mRNA structure is mediated by ligand binding, and this results in modulation of gene expression. This family includes riboswitches that sense lysine in a number of genes involved in lysine metabolism, including lysC. RNAcentral also lists the same sequence under 1 other name. The record is from RNAcentral. Lineage: Bacteria; Bacillati; Bacillota; Clostridia; Eubacteriales; Desulfitobacteriaceae.
AGGUGGGGUAGAGGCGCGAUCUCUAACAGUCUUUAGUGGAGCUUGAGAAGCAUUGAUACUAUGGAGAAGGAAAGGUCGCCGAAGCUUGUAAUACUCUCGAUAUUACUUGCUGGGUCUGUAGUUAAUAACUGCAGGACUGUCUCAAUAAACUUAACCAGUUUAUUGAGUUGUGCUAUCUCAGUG